UUAUGUUUACAUUAACGUCGUUUGUUUUUUUUCAGAAUCGAGGCAGAAGAAGACGGUGAUGAACAAUUUCCCGUAGUUCCUACUACUGUUCAACAAGUUGAAACUACAGCACUGCCAGCCAGACAGGCUCGUGCGGCCGACCCGCAGUAUUUCGUGAAUCCUAGAGCGUAUGAAAAUCAACUUCGUAAAAUUCAGUCGGCUUUCUACAGCGAACCUUACGAUCCCAUUCCCAUGCCGUUCUACGAUUCAUAUCCACAACCGGUUGCUGGCCAACGUCAGCUUUUCAGCGGGAUGUUGACUGCAACAGUGACAGUGAAAACGGCUCUCGAAAUCAACACCGUCACGAAAACCCCAAGAUGUUCAAGAGCCGGACCGUUACCUCAAUGCCCGAACGCUUAAUUAUUU
Long non-coding RNA from Daphnia carinata, 405 nucleotides. RefSeq lists it as uncharacterized. The transcript has 2 exons. The record is from RefSeq and is a predicted model, not a curated record. Lineage: Eukaryota; Metazoa; Arthropoda; Branchiopoda; Diplostraca; Daphniidae.